ACGCCGCGUGAGCUGAUGAAGGUCUUUCGGAUCGUAAAGCUCUGUUGUCAGGGAAGAACAAGUACCGUUCGAAUAGGGCGGUACCUUGACGGUACCUAACCAGAAAGCCACGGCUAACUACGUGCCAGCAGCCGCGGUAAUACGUAGGUGGCAAGCGUUGUCCGGAAUUAUUGGGCGUAAAGGGCUCGCAGGCGGUUUCUUAAGUCUGAUGUGAAAGCCCCCGGCUCAACCGGGGAGGGUCAUUGGAAACUGGGGAACUUGAGUGCAAAAAAGGAAAGUGGAAUUCCACGUGUACCGGUGAAAUGCGUAAAGAUGUGGAGGAACACCAUUGGCGAAGGCGACUCUCUGGUCUGUAACUGACGCUGAGGAGCGAAAGCGUGGGGAGCGAACAGGAUUAAAUACCCUGGUAGUCCACGCCGUAAACAAUGAGUGCUAAUUGUUAGGGGGUUUCCGCCCCUUA
RNAcentral lists this ribosomal RNA (460 nucleotides) under Bacillus subtilis. Its description in RNAcentral is "bacterial SSU rRNA". It matches the Rfam family "Bacterial small subunit ribosomal RNA", at positions 394 to 842 of the family's 1533-position model. The record is from RNAcentral. Lineage: Bacteria; Bacillati; Bacillota; Bacilli; Caryophanales; Bacillaceae.